UUUAAAGAGUUAUUCUGCUCCAUUGCUCCCCAGAGGAUGCGGGAAAGUCAAGAACAUUCUGAAAGCUAUGAUUUGAUGAGGUUCCAGGUUUCUUAUCUUUAAAGUUAUUUAUUUUGCAGUAGCCCAACCCUUGAGAGAAACUCAUGGUCCUGCAGUAUGAUUGACAACUCUUUUUUUUUCUCCCUCUACCAGCACCUACUACACUGAUGAUUAAAUAAAAAUCUUCAAAAAAUAUUGUUUAAAUAAGUGAAUGAAUGCAACCCUUCUAAGGUCUUGAUUUCCUACCUUCACCAUCUUGUUUCAAUAGUUAACAAUACGUUCCUUCUAAAUGAUAUCUGUCAGACUACUCUUAAAGGAUCCCACUCUUCAGUUCAUAGACAUUUAGAUUCAUCUUACUAUCUUACUUUUCUUGAUUAGUUGCUCUUGAGGAAAAAAGAAGGCAAAGUAACAUAAGUAUCCAAUGCAUAGCAUAUAGCCAGAGGUGAUGAUGUAACUGAAAACUGACAAUAAUUCUUGUAAUAAAGAGGCAUCUGCUAAUCUGUUGCUAAUUUUUAUUUGAAAAUUGUUGUUGUUGCUUAGGCCUUAACAAGGUCAGGAAAAUACAGAAGCUCCUUUAAAAAGGGAAAAUGAAACAAAAAAGUAAGUUUCAUAUUUUCCUUGGUCUCUUGCUUAAGAAGGUUACUGUAGGAAAUGUAAAUAGACCACAGGAAGCUUUAGAAACUCAGCUCUUUGAUUGAAAAAAUGGAAAUUCUGUUUUUUACAGAAAUAAAGUAAUUCAAUGAAAAUACAAAAUACAGUUGGUUAUCAUUUAAAAAGGGUUUGUUUUUUGGAUUAUGGUUUCUUUGAUAUAGUACAACUCUGGCACAGACCAUUCCAAGUGUAUUUCUGAAAGCAAAA
RNAcentral lists this long non-coding RNA (897 nucleotides) under Homo sapiens (human). RNAcentral's name for it is "HSALNT0187140". The record is from RNAcentral. Lineage: Eukaryota; Metazoa; Chordata; Mammalia; Primates; Hominidae.